AGAGUUUGAUCGUGGCUCAGGAUGAACGCUAGCGGCGCGCUUAAUGCAUGCAAGUCGAGCGAUGAGGCUCCUUCGGGAGUGCAUCAGCGGCAGACGGGUGAGUAACACGUAGGUGACCUACCCUCAAGACGGGGAUAACGAGUGGAAACAUUUGCUAAUACCCGAUGACCUUACUAGGUCGAAGUAGUAAGGAAAGCUCCGGUGCUUGAGGAGGGGCCUGCGGCCCAUCAGCUAGUUGGUGAGGUAACGGCUCACCAAGGCAAAGACGGGUAGGGGGUGUGAGAGCAUGACCCCCCACAAUGGGACUGCGACACGGCCCAUACUCCUACGGGAGGCAGCAGCAGGGAAUCUUGCACAAUGGACGGAAGUCUGAUGCAGCGACGCCGCGUGAGUGAAGACGGCCUUUGGGUUGUAAAACUCUUUUGAGGGGGAAGAGCCAGGACGGUACCCUUCGAAUAAGCGUCGGCUAACUACGUGCCAGCAGCCGCGGUAAGACGUAGGACGCAAGCGUUAUCCGGAUUUACUGGGCGUAAAGCGUCUGUAGGCGGGUGUGUAAGUUGGAUGUGAAAGCUCCAUGCUCAACGUGGAGAGGCCAUACAAUACUGCACGCCUAGAGGGGGUCAGAGGAGUGUGGAAUUUCCGGUGUAGCGGUAAAAUGCGCAGAUAUCGGAAGGAACACCAGUGGCGAAGGCGGCACUCUGGGGCCCACCUGACGCUGAGAGACGAAAGCUAGGGGAGCGAACAGGAUUAGAGACCCUGGUAGUCCUAGCCCUAAACGCUGAAUGCUAGGUGUGGGGGCGUAGAGCCUCUGUGCCGGAGCUAAUGCGAUAAGCAUUCCGCCUGGGGAGUACGGCCGCAAGGUUAAAACUCAAACGAAUUGACGGGACCCCGCACAAGCAGCGGAGCGUGUGGUUUAAUUCGAUCUACACGAAGAACCUUACCUGGGUUUGACAUAUAGGUGGUAGGAAGCCGAAAGGCGACUGACCCUUCGGGGAGCUUAUACAGGUGCUGCAUGGCUGUCGUCAGCUCGUGCCGUGAGGUGUCGGGUUAAGUCCCGUAACGAGCGCAACCCUUGCCCUUAGUUAUACGUGUCUAAGGGGACUGCCGGCGGGAAGCCGGAGGAAGGUGGGGAUGACGUCAAGUCAGCAUGGCCCUUAUAUCCAGGGCUACACACACGCUACAAUGGGCGGUACAGAGGGCAGCGAAGUCGCGAGGCGGAGCGAAUCCUAGAAAGCCGUUCGUAGUUCGAAUAGCAGGCUGCAACUCGCCUGCUUGAAGCUGGAGUUGCUAGUAACCGCGCGUCAGCUAUAGUGCGGUGAAUACGUUCCCGGGGUUUGUACACACCGCCCGUCACGUCAUGGGAGUUGGUAACGCCUGAAGCCGGUAGCUUAACGUUAACGCGGGAGCGCUGUCGAGGGCUGGACUGGCAACUGGGACGAAGUCGU
RNAcentral lists this ribosomal RNA (1445 nucleotides) under metagenome. RNAcentral's name for it is "bacterial SSU rRNA". It matches the Rfam family "Bacterial small subunit ribosomal RNA". The record is from RNAcentral.